GACAGAGGGUGCAAACGUUGUUCGGAAUUACUGGGCGUAAAGCGCGUGUAGGCGGCUAUGCAAGUCGGGCGUGAAAUCCCACGGCUCAACCGUGGAAGUGCACUCGAAACUGCGUAGCUAGAGUCUCGGAGAGGAAGGUGGAAUACUUGGUGUAGAGGUGAAAUUCGUAGAUAUCAAGUGGAACACCGGUGGCGAAGGCGGCCUUCUGGACGAUGACUGACGCUGAGACGCGAAAGCGUGGGGAGCAAACAGG
RNAcentral lists this ribosomal RNA (253 nucleotides) under uncultured bacterium. RNAcentral's name for it is "partial 16S ribosomal RNA". It matches the Rfam family "Bacterial small subunit ribosomal RNA", at positions 524 to 776 of the family's 1533-position model. The record is from RNAcentral.